ACUCCUACGGGAGGCAGCAGUGGGGAAUAUUGCACAAUGGGCGCAAGCCUGAUGCAGCCAUGCCGCGUGUGUGAAGAAGGCCUUCGGGUUGUAAAGCACUUUCAGUCGUGAGGCCCCCCCCAAGGUAGUGUAGUUAAUAGCUGCAUUAUUUGACGUUAGCGACAGAAGAAGCACCGGCUAACUCCGUGCCAGCAGCCGCGGUAAUACGGAGGGUGCGAGCGUUAAUCGGAAUUACUGGGCGUAAAGCGCAUGCAGGUGGUUUGUUAAGUCAGAUGUGAAAGCCCGGGGCUCAACCUCGGAAUUGCAUUUGAAACUGGCAGACUAGAGUACUGUAGAGGGGGUAGAAUUCAGGUGUAGCGGUGAAAUGCGUAGAGAUCUGAAGGAAUACCGGUGGCGAAGGCGGCCCCCUGGACAGAUACUGACACUCAGAUGCGAAAGCGUGGGGAGCAAACAGGAUUAGAUACCCUGGUAGCUACGAGU
RNAcentral lists this ribosomal RNA (480 nucleotides) under uncultured bacterium. RNAcentral describes it as "bacterial SSU rRNA". It matches the Rfam family "Bacterial small subunit ribosomal RNA", at positions 335 to 802 of the family's 1533-position model. The record is from RNAcentral.